This 593-nucleotide ribosomal RNA is filed under the name uncultured euryarchaeote. RNAcentral's name for it is "bacterial SSU rRNA". It matches the Rfam family "Archaeal small subunit ribosomal RNA", at positions 130 to 724 of the family's 1478-position model. The record is from RNAcentral. Lineage: Archaea; Methanobacteriati; Methanobacteriota.
CCUUGGGAAACUAAGGAUAAUACCCCAUAGACCUGGAAUGGCUGGAACGCUUUCAGGUUGAAGUCUACGGAGCCUCAGGAUGAGUCUGCGGCCUAUCANNNUGUAGUGGNNNUAACGGACCCACUAACCAUCGNNNNGUACGGGUUUUGGGAGAAAUCGCCCGGAGAUGGAUUCUGAGACACGAAUCCAGGCCCUACGGGGCGCAGCAGGCGCGAAAACUUCGCAAUGUGGGAAACUACGACGAGGGGAUUCCAAGUGCUUAUCCAUUAGGGUAAGCUGUUUUCCUGUCUAAAAAGCAGGGAGAGUAAGGGCUGGGUAAGACGGGUGCCAGCCGCCGCGGUAAUACCCGCAGCCCAAGUGGUGCUCGUUAUUAUUGGGCCUAAAACGUCCGUAGCCGGACCAGUAAAUUCUUGGGUAAAUCGAACAGCUUAACUGUUCGAAUUCCGAGGAGACUGCUGGUCUUGGGACUGGGGGAGGCUAGAGGUACUCCCGGGGUAGGGGUGAAAUCCUGUAAUCCUGGGGGGACCACCAGUGGCGAAGGCGUCUAGCUAGAACAGCUCCGACGGUAAGGGACGAAGCCUUGGGGCACAAAC